This 809-nucleotide ribosomal RNA is filed under the name uncultured Granulicatella sp. Its description in RNAcentral is "bacterial SSU rRNA". It matches the Rfam family "Bacterial small subunit ribosomal RNA", at positions 83 to 877 of the family's 1533-position model. The record is from RNAcentral. Lineage: Bacteria; Bacillati; Bacillota; Bacilli; Lactobacillales; Carnobacteriaceae.
CUGGUCAAUCUAGUGGCGAACGGGUGAGUAACACGUGGGUAACCUGCCCAUCAGAGGGGGAUAACAUUCGGAAACGGAUGCUAAAACCGCAUAGGUUCUUAAGUCGCAUGACUCGAGAAGGAAAGGAGGCUUCGGCUUCUGCUGAUGGAUGGACCCGCGGUGCAUUAGCUAGUUGGUGAGGUAACGGCUCACCAAGGCCGUGAUGCAUAGCCGACCUGAGAGGGUGAUCGGCCACAUUGGGACUGAGACACGGCCCAAACUCCUACGGGAGGCAGCAGUAGGGAAUCUUCCGCAAUGGACGCAAGUCUGACGGAGCAACGCCGCGUGAGUGAAGAAGGAUUUCGGUUCGUAAAACUCUGUUGUUAGAGAAGAACAGCGCAUAGAGUAACUGUUAUGCGUGUGACGGUAUCUAACCAGAAAGCCACGGCUAACUACGUGCCAGCAGCCGCGGUAAUACGUAGGUGGCAAGCGUUGUCCGGAUUUAUUGGGCGUAAAGCGAGCGCAGGCGGUCAAUUAAGUCUGAUGUGAAAGCCCCCGGCUCAACCGGGGAGGGUCAUUGGAAACUGGUUGACUUGAGUGCAGAAGAGGAGAGUGGAAUUCCAUGUGUAGCGGUGAAAUGCGUAGAUAUAUGGAGGAACACCAGUGGCGAAGGCGACUCUCUGGUCUGUAACUGACGCUGAGGCUCGAAAGCGUGGGUAGCAAACAGGAUUAGAUACCCUGGUAGUCCACGCCGUAAACGAUGAGUGCUAAGUGUUGGAGGGUUUCCGCCCUUCAGUGCUGCAGUUAACGCAUUAAGCACUCCGCCUGGG